RNAcentral lists this ribosomal RNA (253 nucleotides) under uncultured bacterium. Its description in RNAcentral is "partial 16S ribosomal RNA". It matches the Rfam family "Bacterial small subunit ribosomal RNA", at positions 524 to 776 of the family's 1533-position model. The record is from RNAcentral.
GACGGAGGAUGCAAGUGUUAUCCGGAAUCACUGGGCGUAAAGCGUCUGUAGGUGGUUUAAAAAGUCCACUGUUAAAGAUUGAAGCUCAACUUCAAAAAUGCCGUGGAAACUUUUAAACUUGAGUAUGAUAGGGGUAGAGGGAAUUUCCAGUGGAGCGGUGAAAUGCGUAGAUAUUGGAAAGACCACCAAUGGCGAAGGCACUCUACUGGGCCAUUACUGACACUGAGAGACGAAAGCUAGGGGAGCAAAUGGG